Molecule: long non-coding RNA, 4326 nt
Organism: Canis lupus familiaris (dog)
Lineage: Eukaryota; Metazoa; Chordata; Mammalia; Carnivora; Canidae
Exons: 4
Source: RefSeq, a predicted model, not a curated record
CGGGGAGCCUGAUGGAGGACUCGAAACUGUGACCCCGGGGUCAUGACCUGAGAUAAAAGCAGACACUUAACUGACUGAGCCACCCGGCUGCCCACCUGCAGGUUUAUUUUAAAAUGUAUAUGGACAUGCAAAGCACCAAAAAUAUCCAAGAAACGUUUGAAGAUCUCUUGAGGAAUAGUAAAGUUGGAUAUGUACCACACAUCAAGAUCUAUAAAGUCAUGCUGAUUAAGACACUGGGGCGACCGGUUAAAAGGAUAGGCAAUCACGAAAGAAACUAGAUGGCUCAGAAACAGACCUCUGCAUACGUGGACAGUUGAUUUAAGGCAAGGAUGAUACUCUUAAGCAGUGGGAAAAGGAGUUCUUGAUAACAAAUAGUGCUUGGUCGAUUUGAUAUUCGCAUGGAGGAAAAGAAAGAAACUUAACCUCUACGCUAAACCGUACCCCAAAUCAAAUCAUGUGCAAGUUGAUUGUAUAUUUAAUUGUAAAAGAUAAAAUAACAUUCUAAGAGAUGAUAUAAAUUGUCAACGACAGGACUGAUUUUUAAAUUGAACAGCAAUGUCAUUAACGUGGAAGAAAAUAAUUACCUAUUUGACUACAUUAGACUGAUAACUGAAGAACUUAGGUCUAUUGCAAAGACAGCGUUAGAGAAUGGAAGGCAAGACACAGACUGGAAAAAGAUAUUUACCAGAUGCCAAAUGAGGGCUAAUAUGCAAAAUAUAUGAAAGACGGAUACAAAUGCUAAGAAAAUGAUUGACCACCAAUAAGAAAAGUGGGUCAGAUACUUUUUUAGGAGGCUCUCCAAAAGAAAAUCUCAAUGAUCAACAAGCUUGUUUAAGGGUGCUCAACUUUAUUUGUAAUGAGGAAAAUGAAAGUUAAAACCAUAAUGCAAUAUUCACCCAUCAGAAUGGCUAAAAUCAUGAGUGACAAUAGAGGUAUCAAGGAAGGGAACCAGAGAUGAUAUCACAGCCCCAGCCAAUACCUUGAUUGUCGCCUGUGGGGAUCCAGCGCCUGAGGGCACAACCAGUGGGAAUGGUCACAUACUGCUGGUGAGAAUAACUUGGUACAAUUUUGGAAAACAGUUUUUGGUCUAGCAAUCUCACUCCAAGGACUACAACCAAUGGAAAUGCAUGGACUUGUGCAUCGAGAUACAUUUUAUAAAAAACGUUUUUAGCAGUAAAAUUCAAAAUUACCCCAAACUGGAAGCAAACCGAACACCCUUUCAAGAGUACAAGGGGGUAAAUAUAUUGAGCUAUAUUUGCUCAACGAAAUGCUACAUAGCAAUAUAGAAGAAAAGAAAGUUAUAAAAUCCCUUGCAACAACGCGGAAAAUCUCAUAAAGUUGAGGAAAAGAGGCCAGACUCCCAGUCUCUUCCAUCCCAAGAAUACUAUAUAAUUCCAUUUACACGAAUGUAAACAGGCAAGGUGUUGUAUAGAGUCGUUAAGUUUAAGCAUUAAAAUCAUAAAAAAUCAUCAAGGAGUCGAUUACCAUGAAAGGAUAAUGGUUACCCUGGGAAGGGGAGAAGGGACAAUGAUUACAAGGGAAUAGGGGGCAGUAAUCUUCAUGUGUAGGCUUUGUUCUCUUGUUCUAGUGAUUUUGUGAUGAUUCAUUGAGCCGAAUAUGUUGUUUUGUGUGCUUUUCAAUAAAAAUAUUUUUAAAACUUUUGUAAGGCAAAAAUCUUUGUUUCCAUUGAGGAAUUGAAAUGUAUUUCUUCUUUGUAAUUUCCUUUGAUUGGCUGACAGAAAUCCUACAGCUAAAUGUGAAGUUCAGUUCUAACAAUUAUAUAAAAGAAUGUGACUAAAUGUUUCCAUUCUUUUUCCUCAGUCAUUGACUUUCUACUAAUAUUUACCUUGCCACGGUUGUUUUUAAUCUCCAUAUUUUAAACCAUUAUUUAGUUUUAUAUGUUUAUAAGUGGAUAUGACUGCUUGGAAGGUUACAUCUCUUAAAAUUCACGCUAACUACUUGAAACUCCCAUUGUUUAAAUUAAGAGGAAUACUUAUUUCUCUUGGAGAUUUCUCUUACAUACCUAUCAACUGACUAAGAAUCCCAGAAAGAAAAAAAAAUUAUAUUCACUACAACACUUUAUUAAAUAGAUGGCAUGAUAGCUAUCUAAAAGACUUAUUACCCUAAAAAAAAAAAAAUUCAACUCCCACUUAGAAAAUAGUUAAAGGAGUUUGAAGAAUUUAAUAAUGCCUGUAGGAGUAAUAACUAUGUGGUAAUCCUUUAAAACGUAUUAAUACUGCAAGUAAAAUAACAAUGAAUAAUUUCCCAUAACUGUCCAAAUUCUAUAGUGCCCAAGUAACCCUUGUAAAAAGGAGCAACUGGAGCCCAAAUAACAGCCAAGUGUUGUUAGGUUAGCAUGCCCAGGAUGGCUGUAAUUGUAAUGGUUAUGUGGUAGGAAGCUAUAUCAUAAGUUUUAGCUUGGAAGUUACUUAAUUCACACAAUCUGUUACAGUUCUAAAUGUAGUUCAAAUUAACUGUACUUCCUAAAAGUAGCUCUUGGAAUCAGUACAAUAUAAUUAACUCCUUGAUAAAAUGUUUUUAAAAAAACAAAACAUAGGUCUCCUAGAUGUUUGAAUGCAAUAUGAUUCAAAAUGCCAAAACUUAGCAUUUCUAGGCAUUUGAGUAUGAUGUACCUAUAAGGUUUAAUACGAUUAGACACUUUCUGAUUAAACCGAAGUUAAACUCUUACUUGUUUACUUGCAGGAAUUAUCCACAAGCUUGACAGUGAUUAUUGAACAAAAGUUAAUCAAGAGUGUUGAUAAGGAGGUUUUAUGUGGGUUGAUUGUCCUAUCACAUCACAAUGAUACAGCCUGCUGGGUGGAUGGCUAAUUGUGAGAAGUCUUUGUUUCAAGAAAAACAAAAAACAAAAAACAAAAAACACAAUGAAAACCUUAACUGUGCUGUUAUGUAGCACAUUAUGUAUACAGGAGCCCCACCCCAGCUCCAAACUAUCAAUUGGCCAUUACAUAUCCAAAUAUAUCCAUUGUCAAUAGAUAGGAUGAGCAGAAAAAAAAAAAAAAAAAAGAUAUGAUGAGCAGAAUCUGAACAGAUCACAAAACGAGUAUUUUCUUUAUCGUCUUGUUGCUAUGUUCCUAGGAUGCCUCAAAAUGAGCCUGGGUAAGUGUUGGGCCCAUUUUGCCUCAGUCCUGACCUACUAGCAACUGUCAUUAAAAUCACCUACAGGGCCCAUCCCUCUUCUGUGGGAACUGCAUCAGGAGCCUCUGCCUAGCUGACUUUAGUCACCCAUAUGCCAGGUGGUCCCAGUCAAGUAAAACUGAUUUUUUUUUUUUUUUAAGAUUUUACGGAUUUUUUCAUGAGAGAUACAGAGAGAGGGAGAGACACAGGCCGAGGGAGAAGCAGGCUCCCUGCGGGGAGCCCGAUGGGACCCUGGGAUCCUGACCUGAGCCAAAGGCAGCCGCUCAACCACUGAGCCCUCACGUAAAACUGAUUGGACUAGAGUGAGCACUUGACUUUGGGAACCAACCCAGAGGCUGGCUGUCCACCUCUGACUAUCACAAAAGAGACACUGAAACAAUCAUAUUUCAUAGUCCUUGGAGAUGUGAAGCCCAUACUCCAGGAUGAUGUUUCCGCCUCUGUUUUAUGGCUUUCCACAAUCCUCUUACCUUCUCAACUCGCCAAUAAGCUUUCCUUGCUGGCCUCCAGCCUUGGAUCAAUCAGCAACUUGCUUGCUCAGCCCGUACAAAUGAGCUAUUGAGUAGCUUGGAGAGGUUUCCAACUGGGCCAUCCUGAAGCUAUAGUCACCAGAGGGAGCUGGUUGUUAAAUAUUUACCAGGAUACCAUUGCUGGGACCUAUGGAGCUACUCUUCUGCUAUCAGAACUGCCCCUGAGAUCAUGGUGUUGGUGUCAAGAGCUCAUUGCCUCAUUAAGAGUCACAAAGAUUUUCUCCUACAUUUUCUUCUAAAAUUUUCAUAGUUAAUGUUUCACAUUUAAAUUUAUUAUUCAUUUUGAGUUUAUUUAUUUUUUUGUAUAAAGUGUGCGCUUUUUUUUUUCACGUUGAUGCCCAUUUGUUCCAAUUGUUGAAAAAACUAUCCUUUCCCCAUUGAAUAGUUUUGUCAAAAUAAAGUUGGCCUUAUUUGUGUGUCUACCUCUGGAUUCUCUGUUUUAUUCUGUGAAUCCCCGUGUCCAUCUUUUUGCCAAUAUGAUGUUGUCUUGACUUCUGUAGGUUUAUAGUAAGUAAUAAAAUCAAAUUUUAUUUCAUUAUUUUUCCACCUUUGUUCUUUUCCAAAUUUUUUUGACAGUUCUAACUCCUGUGCCUUUCCACAUAUAUUUUAGUAUUAGCUUGUUGGUGUCUACACAGAAGGCUGG